This 253-nucleotide ribosomal RNA is filed under the name uncultured bacterium. RNAcentral's name for it is "partial 16S ribosomal RNA". It matches the Rfam family "Bacterial small subunit ribosomal RNA", at positions 524 to 776 of the family's 1533-position model. The record is from RNAcentral.
GACAGAGGUGCCAAGCGUUAGGCGGAAUCACUGGGCUUAAAGCGUGUGUAGGCGGGUCGUUAAGUACCUUGUGAAAUCCCACGGCUCAACCGUGGAACUGCUUGGUAUACUGGCGAUCUUGAGCCAGCUAGGGGCUACCGAAACAAACGGUGGAGCGGUGAAAUGCGUAGAUAUCGUUUGGAACGCCAAUGGUGAAAACAGGUAGCUGGGGCUGUGCUGACGCUGAGACACGAAAGCCAGGGGAGCGAACGGG